Long non-coding RNA from Cyprinus carpio carpio, 3904 nucleotides. Lineage: Eukaryota; Metazoa; Chordata; Actinopteri; Cypriniformes; Cyprinidae. The record is from Ensembl.
UAUAUAUAUAUAUAUAUAUAUAUAUAUAUAUAUAUAUAUACACAUAUAUAUAUAUAGACAAAAAAACACUCUUGAAAAAGAUUUUUGGUUAUCCUUUUAUGAUGGACUGUAGCAUGAAACGUGACAUCACCAUACGGAAUGACGGUUGACUGGAUUGUUCGAUUUGUAUUGUACCACUCCCUUUUUUGCUUUUGUUUGUUAAAGUUUUACUGAACCUGGUCUUCCAUCUUUAAUUGAACAUCCCACAGUGGGCUGUAAUGGUGUGUUCAUGUUUGAGCCCCCUCACACACACCACUACUGUCAGUUAUUCGUUUGUAGUUUUUACAUUCCCAGUACAGUUACACACUUUCAUGCACACAGCCACACCAGUUUCUUAUCCAAAUUUGAUCUAAAGAAGUCUUCUUAAUCUGGUAAUAAGAAAUUCUGAAUAAGAAACUCUGCAAUAAGUGUGCAUGAUAGAACCACUGUGGGACGAGAAACAUCUGGAAUAUUGCAGCUUAUCUGGAUGGUAACGACUGGUGUUCAACAUCUCAAACCUGAAGACAGAAUCUAUAAUUGUAAAAGUUUCCACCGUAUGGCUUAUAUGUUAACCUGCUGAAAGCACUGAAGCAUUUGGCCUAUUUGUUUUGGCCUUUUUUAUUUCUUUAUUUUUUUUAUUUUUUAUUUUUUUUCUCAUAGGUGGAUUUCGUAGCUUGUGAAAUAUGAUGCUUAGAAGAAUUUUAUGAAUUCAUUUAGAAUUAAUUUUAGAAUGUCAGUUAGUUCAAAGAAAAUGCUGAGGACAAAAGAUUAAAUGAAAAAACAUCAAUGUAAAAGAAGCCCAGAGAUCCUGCAGCUGUACAUAUGGACAAAUAACUAAAAUAUUUGCUUUUUAUAUCAAUCACAAGCAAUGUAUAUAUGAUAGUUUUCAUAUAAAUUUUUAAAAAUCAAAAAAUAUAUAGAUCUAUAUAUGAAUGUUUGGCAUAUAUGCAUAGUUAACCACCUGUCAAAAAAGGUGAAGAUUUUACUCUUUGUAUGGAGUUUGGGGGUGAUUUGCACAAAACAAGGUGCUAGCAUUUCAAGCCAUUCAUUCCAACCUGUCGCAUUCAACCCUCUAUUAGGGCUCAACAGAUGCAUAUAUAACCUGUUUGCAUAUUUAACCGAAACCUGGGAUCCAAACACAGACACAAAUAUGCUCAUUUCUCUUCCAUGCACCAUCGUUCCUAUUCAGUCCUGUUUUUAAUACCUAACGUGUGUAUGUGUCUUAGACUGUGACAGCAGAAAGAGUUAAUGCUUCACCAUUGGUCAUCUCUUCUCUUGCAUCUGAAAUCAGGCCACACGCAAACAGCCAAGGAUGACGAGACCUCAGUGCAUCAUCAGAUGAGCAUGCCAGCAACACUGUGUAGGAAAACUCUCUUCUGUAGGAGCAGUGUUGAGUCGGAGUAGAUGCCAUAUUUUGAUAUGAACGAAAAGCAGCUGUGAGGGAUUGAAGUACAGCCUGUUCACACUGCAGGUAAAAACAGAUGUCACUCCUCUUUUUAAUGCGGUUCUGUACACACUGUUAAAUAUGGGAGUGCCAUUCUAAACCUGAAUUUACUUGGGAUACAAAACCAAUUAUGAUUUUAAGCAUUACAACACAAUGUAAAGACUGAAAAAUGGAUAUUAAUUUUGGAAUUUUCUAAAGAUUGUAUUUUACAGUUAUUUAUUACUGGUAAAGAUUAAUUUUUGUUAAUCAUAUAUAUAUAUAUAUAUAUAUAUAUAUAUAUAUAUAUAUAUAUACACACAGACACACACACACUAGCAUAAAACAUUUUGAAGGUCAGUUUUUUUUAUGUAUUCUUUUUUUUUAAAGAGAAUAACUAUUUUAUUUAGCAUAAAUGCAUUUGAUCAAAAGUGACAGUAAAUACAUUUAUAAUUUUACAAAAAAAAUAGCAUUUUUAAAUGUAUUCAAAUAGAAAAUUUUUAUUUUAAAUUGUAAUAAAAUUAACAUCACGUUUUUACUAUGUUUUGAUCCUAAAAAUGCAGCUUUAGUGACCAUAAAAGACUUCAAACUAAUUAAAGAGUUUUACUGACUAUUGAUAUUGAAUGAUACUGUACUAAUAAAUUGAAAAAUCGGAUAACUGAUAUGGUGUUGAUAGUGACUGUACCUUUAUAUUUUUCCCCCUCUGAUUAACAUUUAAAAUAUACAAAUUUCCAACAUAAAAUAAAGGUUUUGAAAAUCAGAUGUGACCUAUGACCUUGUACUUUUAUAACCUCAUUUCUGUUCUGGAAAUAUGGUGGUUACUCUGAUUAAAAUUUAUUCUCCCAUCCUAGAUGAAGACUAGUUACAAUUUAGCUCAUUAACAGAGAUCCUGACCUCCCAUCCUAAAGCAGCCGCUCUGCGUUAAAUCUUCAGUCUGUCUGACUGUACAAGGGCUUGAAUGAAGGUGUUGAGGGGCCUUCUUCAUUCCAUGGUAGACUUGUUAAAUCCACUUUGUUUUUUACUUAAAUCUUACAGAAUCGCUCAAUUUUGACAUUUUUAAUUUUUCAUCCCACUCAAAGUCAUGUUCCUACCUUCAGCUCAUCCAGAAGAACAAAGGCAAGUGUGUGUAUGUUUUUGUGAAUGUCGUCCCACUCUGGAGACUUGGAACUGCAUUUCUGAGCCAUAUGUACCACAGUUUUCCUCCUCUCAACUUCUGAUAACUCGCGAGCUGAGAUUUUCAUUCUGUACACACAUCACUUUCAUCUUUCAUGAUAUUGAUUUUAUUCCAUUAUAGUUGUUCUAGCAGGAGAUGAAAGGACAUGAAGAAAAAUGAACAAAUGUGCCAAAAAGUGAUUAUUGUUUUUAGCUUUUCUUUGAGGUUUGUUGGAACUAAAUGCUGUUUGAACCAGCACUAUGGUGCCACCUCCUGGACAUUUUGAGACUACACACAUCUACUGUUUUCUUUUGCUUUCUUUGUUUAUGAGUUUAUAUACAUUUUUAUGUUUUUCAAUGAUUUCCAUACGUGUCCCAGUUUAUUGAGUUUCCUGGGCACAUUCAUGUCUGGAUUUAAGAAGCUGUUCUGUUUGGCUUGAAUUCCAGUCAAUUCUAUUAGUGACUGACUUGCACAUUCGGUGGACACUCUCCCUGACCUUUGCCCUUUAUUCUCUCCCAAUGUAGCAGAAAUCAGGGGUUCUGCAUAUUUAACCAGAAUGAAAAUUGCAGUUGAUUUCUUUGUCAUUUUACUCAACCAAUGGCAGGACGAAACAUGAAAUAAAACACAUCAUUUACAUGACUGCAGUAUGUUCUAUAGGGUUGUCCAUCUUGUUUUCUGACCAACAAAAGCACAAUAAAAAAUAGCAAGAAAUGCAGUAUAUACUGCUUUAAUGAGCAUUGUUUUCUGGUGGGUUGAUUGCUCAGUUGAGGUUGUGAUGGAGGUUUAUUUCACUCAGGUAAUACUUAAAGAGAGAGAAGCACUUUCCACAAAGAUGUGCAAAAAAAAAAGGGUUGAAACUGAAAAGUCUUCAUUUUGUAACAGACUAAAGAAUGUUUAACCUUCAGAAAAUGUUUGUCCACCUCAAAUAAAUUUAAAAUAAAACUGCUCAUAUAGCAUUUAGUUUUAUAGGUUUGAUGAGUAUUAUAAAAUCAUGAGCAUUAAAUAUAUAGAGAUAAAAACAGUAUGGGAAACAGGGUUGCAGAUUUCACUGUCUCUAGUUUUGGCUUGAAUGCUUAUUUUUAAAUGACUUUUCAUAUAAAGAAAAAUACUUGAUCUUACCAUUUUUGUAUUGUAUGUACAUUUUGUGUUUUUCUUGCAAAAAGAUACUUCUACAAUACACUAAUUUUACACUAAGUUUCAGAAGAGUGUUGGAAUGGUUGAUGUUUGAUAUUAAAUCUAGCAACUUCUCAUGCAUAGAUAAUUUUCUGUUAAAAACUAUAAUUUGUCAAUUAUGGUCCAUUCGUGGAAAGUGC